GACGAACGCUGGCGGCGUGCUUAACACAUGCGAGUCGAACGGAAAGGCCCUGCUUUUGUGGGGUGCUCGAGUGGCGAACGGGUGAGUAGCACGUGAGUAACCUGCCCUUGACUUUGGGAUAACUUCAGGAAACUGGGGCUAAUACCGGAUAGGAGCUCCUGCUGCAUGGUGGGGGUUGGAAAGUUUCGGCGGUUGGGGAUGGACUCGCGGCUUAUCAGCUUGUUGGUGGGGUAGUGGCUUACCAAGGCUUUGACGGGUAGCCGGCCUGAGAGGGUGACCGGCCACAUUGGGACUGAGAUACGGCCCAGACUCCUACGGGAGGCAGCAGUGGGGAAUAUUGCACAAUGGGCGGAAGCCUGAUGCAGCAACGCCGCGUGCGGGAUGACGGCCUUCGGGUUGUAAACCGCUUUCGCCUGUGACGAAGCGUGAGUGACGGUAAUGGGUAAAGAAGCACCAGCUAACUACGUG
Molecule: ribosomal RNA, 468 nt
Filed under: uncultured bacterium
Lineage: Bacteria
Description: partial 16S ribosomal RNA
Rfam family: Bacterial small subunit ribosomal RNA
Source: RNAcentral